This 863-nucleotide ribosomal RNA is filed under the name uncultured bacterium. Its description in RNAcentral is "bacterial SSU rRNA". It matches the Rfam family "Bacterial small subunit ribosomal RNA", at positions 56 to 919 of the family's 1533-position model. The record is from RNAcentral.
UGCAGUCGAGGGGUAACAGAGAAGCUUGCUUCUGCUGACGACCGGCGCACGGGUGCGUAACGCGUAUGCAACCUACCUCAUACUGGAGAAUAGCCCUUGGAAACGAGGAUUAAUACUCCAUGGUAUCAUUCUUUCGCAUGUUAGAAUGAUUAAAGAAUUUCGGUAUGAGAUGGGCAUGCGUCCCAUUAGCUUGUUGGUGAGGUAACGGCUCACCAAGGCAACGAUGGGUAGGGGGCCUGAGAGGGUGGUCCCCCACACUGGUACUGAGACACGGACCAGACUCCUACGGGAGGCAGCAGUGAGGAAUAUUGGUCAAUGGAGGCAACUCUGAACCAGCCAUGCCGCGUGAAGGAUGACGGCCCUAUGGGUUGUAAACUUCUUUUAUAUGGGAAGAAACUUAUCUACGUGUAGAUAACUGACGGUACCAUACGAAUAAGGAUCGGCUAACUCCGUGCCAGCAGCCGCGGUAAUACGGAGGAUCCAAGCGUUAUCCGGAUUCAUUGGGUUUAAAGGGUCCGUAGGCGGAUUUUUAAGUCAGUGGUGAAAGCCGACRGCUCAACUGUCGAACUGCCAUUGAUACUGGAAAUCUUGAGUACAAAUGAAGUAGGCGGAAUGAGUCAUGUAGCGGUGAAAUGCAUAGAUAUGACUCAGAACACCGAUUGCGAAGGCAGCUUACUAACAUGUAACUGACGCUGAGGGACGAAAGCGUGGGGAGCGAACAGGAUUAGAUACCCUGGUAGUCCACGCCGUAAACGAUCAUCACUCGCUGUUGGCGAUAUACUGUCAGCGGCCAAGCGAAAGUAUUAAGUGAUGCACCUGGGGAGUACGCCGGCAACGGUGAAACUCAAAGGAAUUGACGGGGG